RNAcentral lists this ribosomal RNA (301 nucleotides) under uncultured bacterium. Its description in RNAcentral is "partial 16S ribosomal RNA". It matches the Rfam family "Bacterial small subunit ribosomal RNA", at positions 509 to 807 of the family's 1533-position model. The record is from RNAcentral.
CAGUAGCCGCGGGAAUACGAAGGGGGCUAGCGUUGUUCGGAUUUACUGGGCGUAAAGCGCACGUAGGCGGAUCGAUCAGUCAGGGGUGAAAUCCCAGAGCUCAACUCUGGAACUGCCUUUGAUACUGUCGAUCUGGAGUAUGGAAGAGGUGAGUAGAAUUCCGAGUGUAGAGGUGAAAUUCGUAGAUAUUCGGAGGAACACCAGUGGCGAAGGCGGCUCACUGGUCCAUUACUGACGCUGAGGUGCGAAAGCGUGGGGAGCAAACAGGAUUAGAUACCCCCGUAGUCCCUGUCUCUUAUAC